This is a long non-coding RNA of Lycium barbarum (goji berry), 1776 nucleotides long. RefSeq lists it as uncharacterized. NCBI's taxonomy places the organism in Eukaryota, Viridiplantae, Streptophyta, Magnoliopsida, Solanales, Solanaceae. The transcript has 3 exons. The record is from RefSeq and is a predicted model, not a curated record.
UGUUGUUCCCAAUUGUACUUUAUUUCUGUUACAUCCGUUUUGUAAAAGUCCUAUGUACUAUUGAAUCUUGUGAUUAACUGGAUAAUUUGACCUUCUAGUGCAAUGUUAGUUUUCUAAUGGUAGUUAGGGAUUUCAAAAUUAGAAGUUGCCAGGAGUAAAUUGAUUUUGAGUGCUCUUCUAUUUCAAUUAGGAGAUCUUUAUCUUUCUCUCAUUUAUUUUUCUCUAAAUGAACAUGAUUCUGAGAUGGCUUGAUAUUGAAUAUCUAGGUGAAAAGGAUCCAUUUUCUGUAAAUGAAUGCAUAUCAGGCUAUUGCCUCUUGAUUAAAAGAAAUUGGAGUUGCAAAGGAUGUGGAAAUUAACCAAGUAGAUGGCUUACUAUGAUUGUGACCGAGUUUUAGUGUUGCUACAAUCUAUUGCGUGUGUUGAUUUUAUUGCUGAAACAAUAUUUAUAAGAUCUUCCUUUUCUCUUCAUUCCUUGCUAAUUUGUUUCGUUAAGUUAGCUGGUUAAACAAUUAAACAAAACAUUUUGAAAUCUCCAGUAGUUAAACUCUCAGUAUACUGAAAUAGGAAUUUAGAAGAUUCCAAGUCUACUGGGGUGGGGACUACUGCUUUUCCUAAGAUUUCUACUCCUCAAUCAUGCAAGAGAGUCGAUGAUUGUGCUGUUAUUUAUGUUUCUUGAUUAGUCUAGUUAAUUGUUUUCUCAAAUUUCAGUUUUACUUUGUAAGAAGACACAUUUCAUAAUGGGGGCAAUGGACUUCAAUAUGGUGGCGGGGAGAGGACUAGAGGUUUAUUUGGUUCUGUAUCUUACAUAGGCUUUAUUUAUGACGUGAUUGAGGACAUCCUUUUGCUCCGUGCCUCAGUCGAUAGACCAUGUAUAUUAAUGAAUUAUUCUUCGAGUUAGCUGGUGUUAAGUAUAACCCAAGAACACCAAGUCUAUGCACAUUGAGCUGUUAAUUUAAUCUAGUUAGUCGUAGGUAACAUAGCCAGUAAUGGAGUAAUUCUCUAAAUUUGUACGGUCUCUUCAAAGUAGACAAACUCCUGAACCCUGCUUUAUUUAACUGAGGAUUAUUUCUCCUCGAGGCUAUUUCGAAAGCUAUUCAGUAAUUUGAAUUUUUUCUUGGUUCGCUUUUGUAGCUUCAUGUUUCUAUUGACCCUAUCUUUGGACAAUAGGGUUUUCAAACAUUUAUCCAUACUCUAACUUCAGCAAUGUGAUUAGAUGUAGAAUAUGAUCAGCUCUUUUAGAGAAAUCUCACCUGUUCUGCUAAAAGAAACUAUGCGAAUCCUGUUCAGUUUUGGUUUUUGCUUAUCCGAGCUGCUAUUCUUUAACUUGGUGUAGUGUUUUAUAUUUCUCUUUUGAGCUGCUUGUAACUUUGUAAUAGAGCAAGCAACAAAUUUCCUGGAGUUCCUCUCAAAUCUUUACGGACAAAUGUGCACUUGCUAAGAGCAGUAGCUUGGGAUUCAGUGGAUCUGACUCAGAAUGAAAGCUCUAUUACUAGAAGUAUGAGACUUGUCAGCAUAUGUGGCGUUGCACUGUGAAUAUGUCCACCGCAAAUUCUGAUUUUGGAGCAGCUGGAGAAAGUAAUAAGCAAAAACUGAUUGCGGACAUUGAUCCAUGAUUAAAGGAAGCUAUGGCUAGAAGGCCUGGUGCUUGCCUCGAGUUGAGCACAUUGAAGCGCCAAAUCCACUAUUUUCAGGGCCUUCCAUUGUUCUUCUACAUCCCAGAGACUAAUUUCUUCAUCAAGAAAACAAUGGAAAUUGUUGCUUCUCUGCAAGUUCU